CGUGUAGGCGGCCUUUUAAGUCUGGUGUGAAAGCCCGGGGCUUACCCCCGGAAGGGCACUGGAAACUGGGAGGCUAGAGUACCGGAGAGGAGGGUGGAAUUCCUGGUGUAGCGGUGAAAUGCGUAGAUAUCAGGAGGAACACCGGUGGCGAAGGCGGCCCUCUGGACGGAUACUGACGCUGAGACGCGAAAGCGUGGGGAGCAAACAGGAUUAGAUACCCUGGUAGUCCACGCUGUAAACGAUGGGCACUAGGUGUUCGGGGUAUUGACCCCCUGAGUGCCGCAGCUAACGCAUUAAGUGCCCCGCCUGGGGACUACGGCCGCAAGGUUAAA
RNAcentral lists this ribosomal RNA (332 nucleotides) under uncultured bacterium. Its description in RNAcentral is "bacterial SSU rRNA". It matches the Rfam family "Bacterial small subunit ribosomal RNA", at positions 568 to 898 of the family's 1533-position model. The record is from RNAcentral.